RNAcentral lists this ribosomal RNA (600 nucleotides) under uncultured bacterium. RNAcentral describes it as "bacterial SSU rRNA". It matches the Rfam family "Bacterial small subunit ribosomal RNA", at positions 725 to 1330 of the family's 1533-position model. The record is from RNAcentral.
CUCGCCAGGCCUGCAUUGACGCUCGGGCACGAAAGCGUGGGGAUCGAACAGGAUUAGAUACCCUGGUAGUCCACGCCGUAAACGAUGGGCGCUCGUCGUCGGCGGCAGACAGUCGGCGGCCAAGCGAAAGCGAUAAGCGCCCCACCUGGGGAGUACGGUCGCAAGGCUGAAACUCGAAGGAAUUGACGGGGGCCCGCACAAGCGGUGGAGCAUGUGGUUUAAUUCGAUGAUACGCGAGGAACCUUACCCGGGCUUGAACUGCAGUGGAACGACGGGGAGACCCGAAGGCCCGCAAGGGCUGCUGCAGAGGUGCUGCAUGGUUGUCGUCAGCUCGUGCCGUGAGGUGUCGGGUCAAGUCCCAUAACGAGCGCAACCCCUGCGUCCAGUUGCCAGCGGUCAGGCCGGGCACUCUGGACGGACUGCCCGCGCAAGCGGAGAGGAAGGCGGGGAUGACGUCAAAUCAGCACGGCCCUUACGUCCGGGGCGACACACGUGCUACAAUGGCCGGCACAGAGGGGAGCCACGCGGCGACGCGGAGCGGAUCCCGAAAGUCGGUCACAGUCCGGAUCGGAGUCUGCAACCCGACUCCGUGAAGCUGGA